Long non-coding RNA from Dioscorea cayenensis subsp. rotundata (Guinea yam), 1280 nucleotides. RefSeq lists it as uncharacterized. The transcript is spliced from 3 exons. The record is from RefSeq and is a predicted model, not a curated record. Lineage: Eukaryota; Viridiplantae; Streptophyta; Magnoliopsida; Dioscoreales; Dioscoreaceae.
UCCCUCCCUCCCUCCGUCCCCCUCUUCUUAUCUCUUUCUCCCUCUCCCUUUCCCUUAGUCUUCUUCUUUCUCUUUAUGAAUUUUGGCUUCGAAUCUCUCACAACUACCAUGCCCUAAUUGCCUAAUAAGAAAAAACAAGAAAGCGGGAAAGCAUGGAUAGAAGGGUUUGAUUGAAUCUAAAGCCGGGGAAUUUUGUAUAUCUUUAUUAUUUGGAGGUGAAGCGUUGGCUCGAGGCAAAGAUCGAGUAGAGGAUUAGCGUUUGGGGAAGUGGUAUCAUCAAAGUUGUGAGUGGGAUUAAUUAUGCAUAAUUCUACUAGGAGAAUACCUAUAAUGAUUCUAUAUUGCGAAGUAAAGUUUUAUUUUCUUCUAUACUUAAAUUGAGGUUUUGAUUGACUUAAAAUGAGUUUAUUUAGUGAUGUUUUAUACUUGAAAGGUAUUAUUGUUCUAAGGAAAGGAUUUUUUGAUUGUUACGUGAUUCACAAAUUGUGUGUUGAUUUAUGAUAAAAUCAUUGGAUAUACUUGUGCUUAUCAUUUCCGUGGAGAAAUGGCAGAUAUUUUGGAUAUUGAUUUUUGUUCUGGUUAUGGACUCCUCAUUGUGAGAUACAUGUUUGUAUUACUUGGUUGGUGACAUCCUACUGCAGUAGGUGGUUUUCAUGGCCAACCUGUUGAGGUGGCGUGGAAAACCGACAAACGUAUUGGUCCUAUUCAGAUGGGAGUGUAGAGCCCUAUUAGAUGUUCAUCGGGAAGCCGGGGUCACCACACGGUGAACCAAUGGAUCAACAUUAAGGAUAUGAGUUCCUUGAUGGCUCUGAACUUAGCUGCAGCACGAUGAAAGUUUAGAGAGGUUUCUAGACCAUGUUGCGUUCCUUUUGUAGUGUUAUAUUCAAUUUGUGGUUUUGACGGUGAGUAUCUAUUUUAUGGAUUUUGUGACUCGUAUUAUAUAGUUGUUCUAUAUAUAUAUGAGUGGAACUAUUAUGAUCCAUUUGGAUUAUUAUAAAAGUUUGGCUUAAUGUUUAAUUUGUUUUGUAGUAUAAACCCUAUAUUUGGUCUUUCGUGGAUUUGUUGUUGUAAACUCUAGUUGGGGUUGAAAGGCUUACUUGACACUAUCUGUUGUUAUAUUAUAUCGAUGAUUUUUUUUAUGUGUAUCUACAUUCUAAACUGUUGGCUGUUGGUAUUAGUAAAGCAUUAUUUUGGUGAGUUAUUCCGUGUAUUUUGGUGUAUUCUUGUAGUAUUGUGCUAACCCACUCACUGAGUAUAUUUAGUUGCUCACCCCUCUUUUC